This 484-nucleotide ribosomal RNA is filed under the name uncultured bacterium. RNAcentral's name for it is "partial 16S ribosomal RNA". It matches the Rfam family "Bacterial small subunit ribosomal RNA", at positions 30 to 507 of the family's 1533-position model. The record is from RNAcentral.
AUUGAACGCUGGCGGCAGGCCUAACACAUGCAAGUCGAGCGGAUGCAGGGAGCUUGCUCCUGGAUUCAGCGGCGGACGGGUGAGUAAUGCCUAGGAAUCUGCCUGGUCGUGGGGGAUAACGUCCGGAAACGGGCGCUAAUACCGCAUACGUCCUGAGGGAGAAAGUGGGGGAUCUUAGGACCUCACGCUAUCAGAUGAGCCUAGGUCGGAUUAGCUAGUUGGUGGGGUAAAGGCCUACCAAGGCGACGAUCCGUAACUGGUCUGAGAGGAUGAUCAGCCACACUGGAACUGAGACACGGUCCAGACUCCUACGGGAGGCAGCAGUGGGGAAUAUUGGACAAUGGGCGAAAGCCUGAUCCAGCCAUGCCGCGUGUGUGAAGAAGGUCUUCGGAUUGUAAAGCACUUUAAGUUGGGAGGAAGGGCAGUGAGUUAAUACCGUGCGGUUUUGACGUUACCAGCAGAAUAAGCACCGGCUAACUUCGUG